AUUGAACGCUGGCGGCAGGCCUAACACAUGCAAGUCGAGCGGAUGACGGGAGCUUGCUCCUUGAUUCAGCGGCGGACGGGUGAGUAAUGCCUAGGAAUCUGCCUGGUAGUGGGGGACAACGUUUCGAAAGGAACGCUAAUACCGCAUACGUCCUACGGGAGAAAGCAGGGGACCUUCGGGCCUUGCGCUAGCAGAUGAGCGCGGGUCGGAUUAGCUUGUUGGUGAGGUAAUGGCUCACCAAGGCGACGAUCCGUAACUGGUCUGAGAGGAUGAUCAGUCACACUGGAACUGAGACACGGUCCAGACUCCUACGGGAGGCAGCAGUGGGGAAUAUUGGACAAUGGGCGAAAGCCUGAUCCAGCCAUGCCGCGUGUGUGAAGAAGGUCUUCGGAUUGUAAAGCACUUUAAGUUGGGAGGAAGGGUUGUAGAUUAAUACUCUGCAAUUUUGACGUUACCGACAGAAUAAGCACCGGCUAACUCUGUGCCAGCAGCCGCCGUAA
Molecule: ribosomal RNA, 500 nt
Filed under: uncultured bacterium
Lineage: Bacteria
Description: partial 16S ribosomal RNA
Rfam family: Bacterial small subunit ribosomal RNA
Source: RNAcentral